GCUCGCAUACCUGCUCGUCAUAUUUCAACCGAGAUUUUCCAAAAUCGAAGACCUAACAGGGUCAUUAUAUUUCACGCCUUCACUCACUGGUUUCCCACGCAGUGAGCAACCAUUGUAAAUCUCCAAGAAAUCCGAUCAUCUUCCUUCCCAAAACUGAAACCCAAAAUCAGUGAGAGCAGCCGCUGUAAAUCUCCCUCAAAAUCGAUCAUCUUCCUUUCCGAAAGGUGAAACCCGAACUCAGAGUAAAGCCUUUCCGCCUUCACUCCCUGUUUCCCACGAAGUGAGAGCACCGCUGUAAAUCUCCCUCAAAAUCGAUCAUCUUCCUUUCCAAAAGGUGAAACCCGAACUCAGUGAGAGCAACCAUUGUCAAGAACCCCUGAAGAAACUCGAUCAUCUUUCUUCCCAAAAGCUGAAACC
Long non-coding RNA from Macadamia integrifolia, 417 nucleotides. RefSeq lists it as uncharacterized. The record is from RefSeq and is a predicted model, not a curated record. NCBI's taxonomy places the organism in Eukaryota, Viridiplantae, Streptophyta, Magnoliopsida, Proteales, Proteaceae. The transcript is spliced from 4 exons.